UCUACAGUGCACGUGUCUCCAGUGUGGCUCGGAGGCUGGAGACGCGGCCCUGUUGGAGU
This 59-nucleotide microRNA precursor is filed under the name Dasypus novemcinctus (nine-banded armadillo). Its description in RNAcentral is "microRNA dno-mir-139 precursor". Its record names the gene dno-mir-139. It matches the Rfam family "mir-139 microRNA precursor family", at positions 7 to 65 of the family's 68-position model. RNAcentral also lists the same sequence under 8 other names. The record is from miRBase by way of RNAcentral. Lineage: Eukaryota; Metazoa; Chordata; Mammalia; Cingulata; Dasypodidae.